This 269-nucleotide ribosomal RNA is filed under the name uncultured bacterium. RNAcentral's name for it is "partial 16S ribosomal RNA". It matches the Rfam family "Bacterial small subunit ribosomal RNA", at positions 335 to 621 of the family's 1533-position model. The record is from RNAcentral.
UGUCCUACGGGACGCAGCAGUGGGGAAUAUUGCACAAUGGGCGAAAGCCUGAUGCAGCGACGCCGCGUGAAGGAUGAAGUAUUUCGGUAUGUAAACUUCUAUCAGCAGGGAAGAAAAUGACGGUACCUGACUAAGAAGCCCCGGCUAACUACGUGCCAGCAGCCGCGGUAAUACGUAGGGGGCAAGCGUUAUCCGGAUUUACUGGGUGUAAAGGGCGUGUAGGCGGGGAAGCAAGUCGGAUGUGAAAACCACGGGCUCAACCUGUGGCC